CCCACGUUUUCUUGCAACAUACAAAACAGUAUAAAAACACAUAACUUUAGCAUUUUAAUAGACAAUUCGUGCAUUCUACCGUUCAUUAUGUAGCCCAGAUCUGAGCACAGCAGAUAGUCAAAUAGCACUCAGAACUCACGAAAGGUAUGGUUAGUUUCAUCAAUAUAAAGUCUGUUCGUGUCUUUUGUCCCGAACCUGAGACAGCGGCCAUGUUUUCAAGUGAGUUAAUGGGCAGCGGGACCUCGACCCCAAACUCAUGGAACGAGUAGCGGCCAGGGGUUUACACGAAUCCCCGUUCUCCUGAUGGUUUCCCCAGCCGUUCGGGAAACUAACGGAGACCGCCGGGAAGGGGUACUUAACCUGCGGUUAACCGCAAAACCAACAUUCUAAUUGGGGCCAUACACCAGGAUGUAGGUAGUCCUCGUUCGUGAGUCUUUCGGUAGUUUUAGUUCGGGAAAUAGUGCACGAACGGGAAUGCCCUGGGACCGUCAAUUAGGCUGUGGUUAACCGCAGACCGCAGCUCCCUUGGCGAUUAAUUAGAGACACGUUCCGCUCGUAGGGUGGUCAGUUGUUCGGGUAUUGGAGAGGUGACAAGGGUUAAGUGGCGGCACAUGCCAGGGGCCGGGUGGUCUGUUGUUCAUAUACACGAAUGGGUAACGGGAAAUCGGUUCGGGGAUUAGGUUACACAGUUAAAAUACCGAAACAAGGUUCUGUGAGGAAACAGAAAAGAGCAAUAUUGUAACAGUCUGUAGAGCUUUUCUAA
Molecule: non-coding RNA, 763 nt
Organism: Pelobates cultripes (western spadefoot toad)
Lineage: Eukaryota; Metazoa; Chordata; Amphibia; Anura; Pelobatidae
Source: the annotation of a GenBank genome assembly